This 232-nucleotide long non-coding RNA is filed under the name Capsicum annuum. RNAcentral describes it as "long non-coding RNA (CANN_LNC005511)". The record is from RNAcentral. Lineage: Eukaryota; Viridiplantae; Streptophyta; Magnoliopsida; Solanales; Solanaceae.
UCGAGGAUGAGGAGUUAGAACUGGUGAAAAAGAGCUCUAAAUGGGACAACUUUGACAUCUCUAGGACUAGGAAUGUAGUAUUUAAGCUUGAGUUUGUAGCCCCAAAGUGAAAGGAUGAGGUGGAUAUAGAUGAAAUAAAGUAUGAGGAUAUUGAAAUUGAGAUUUGAGUUUUGGAAAAUAUAGUUGUCUGCUAUGUGUUAGGUGCCUACCUAUUGUUUGAAGUAAUAAAGGG